GUGUCAGCAGCCGCGGUAAUACGGGGGGUGCAAGCGUUGUUCGGAAUUAUUGGGCGUAAAGAGCGUGUAGGCGGCCGGAUGUGUCGGAUGUGAAAGCCCUGGGCUUAACCCAGGAAGUGCAUUUGAAACUGUCCGGCUCGAGUAGGGGAGAGGGAAGUGGAAUUCCUGGUGUAGAGGUGAAAUUCGUAGAUAUCAGGAGGAACACCGGUGGCGAAGGCGACUUCCUGGCCCUAUACUGACGCUGAGACGCGAGAGCGUGGGUAGCAAACAGGAUUAGAUACCCUGGUAGUCCACGCCGUAAACGAUGUUCACUAGGUGUUGGGGGUAUUGACCCCCUCAGUGCCGGAGCUAACGCAUUAAGUGAACCGCCUGGGGAGUACGGUCGCAAGACUAAAACUCAAAUGAAUUGACGGGG
RNAcentral lists this ribosomal RNA (415 nucleotides) under uncultured prokaryote. RNAcentral's name for it is "bacterial SSU rRNA". It matches the Rfam family "Bacterial small subunit ribosomal RNA", at positions 505 to 918 of the family's 1533-position model. The record is from RNAcentral.